GUGUGCAAUGACUGAUUCGAUGUCUCAAGCAGAACACAUUUCUCUUCGGCAUUUCUAAGCCUAGCGGCGCCCGCCGAAAGCUCACUAUUAAGGCGUUUUACAUCCUCUUGUGCACAUAACAGGUCAUGCUCUGAUGUCUUAAGCAGAACACACUUCUCUUCAGCAUUUCUAAGCCUAGCAGCGCCUGCCGAAAGCUCACCAUUAAGGCGUUUUACAUCCUCUUGUGCACAUAACAGUUCAUGCUCAAGUUUGGAUAUUUUCUCCAGACAGUUUUUAUACUCACGGACUGAGGCUUUUUUCUCCUCUGUUAGCUCCAUAACCAGCCUUUCCAGUUUCUUGAUCUCACUUUCAGCUCUAUCAGCUUUCUCACUAAGA
RNAcentral lists this long non-coding RNA (375 nucleotides) under Nicotiana benthamiana. RNAcentral describes it as "long non-coding RNA (NBEN_LNC030654)". Lineage: Eukaryota; Viridiplantae; Streptophyta; Magnoliopsida; Solanales; Solanaceae. The record is from RNAcentral.